Molecule: long non-coding RNA, 580 nt
Filed under: Mytilus galloprovincialis (Mediterranean mussel)
Lineage: Eukaryota; Metazoa; Mollusca; Bivalvia; Mytilida; Mytilidae
Source: RNAcentral
AAUAGAACGAAUCAGCGAAACAUCUUCUGAAUACAGUUUGAAUAAAAUCCACUAAUGCCAUUACAUAUUAUAGCUACGUGACGUGUAAUUAAACACAGGUUACAUUUGUUUCAUUUGAAAAAGCUUGAGUGAGACGUGAAAAAUACUGUGUAUUAUUAUCAAAACAGUAGGUACGAUGUCAAUAUGUAGGACGACGAGAACGAACAUACAAAUCAACUUCCGUAUAAAGCUUGAAUAAAUUCCGACUUACAACAAUAGUGGUUAAAGUUCAAUAACUCAAGUGCUUAAAAGAUUUAUCGUAUAUAUCAUCAUGAUCAAUGUUGUGGAAUACACUAUUACAUAAUGUUCCUAUAAAGUGUACGAUAUGUUUACAUAUUCAUAAUCUAUGUUCGUGCACAUAAAAUAUCAAAGAUGGCGAUCGAGAGAGCUGCAUCAUCACUACAUUCAUCAGUUCAAAAGGAAUAAUAUGCACGAACGAAUGCUUAAAUAAAAUUUACCUAGUUCCUUUCUUACACAUAUUCAAUCAUUGUAUCGGUAUAAAAGUCCGAAUAGCUAAAAAAAAAAGUUUAUAAAAUCCCAC